GAUGAACGCUGACGGCGUGCCUAAUACAUGCAAGUCGAGCGAACGGACGAGAAGCUUGCUUCUCUGAUGUUAGCGGCGGACGGGUGAGUAACACGUGGAUAACCUACCUAUAAGACUGGGAUAACUUCGGGAAACCGGAGCUAAUACCGGAUAAUAUUUUGAACCGCAUGGUUCAAAAGUGAAAGACGGUCUUGCUGUCACUUAUAGAUGGAUCCGCGCUGCAUUAGCUAGUUAGUAAGGUAACGGCUUACCAAGGCAACGAUGCAUAGCCGACCUGAGAGGGUGAUCGGCCACACUGGAACUGAGACACGGUCCAGACUCCUACGGGAGGCAGCAGUAGGGAAUCUUCCGCAAUGGGCGAAAGCCUGACGGAGCAACGCCGCGUGAGUGAUGAAGGUCUUCGGAUCGUAAAACUCUGUUAUUAGGGAAGAACAUAUGUGUAAGUAACUGUGCACAUCUUGACGGUACCUAAUCAGAAAGCCACGGCUAACUACGUG
RNAcentral lists this ribosomal RNA (497 nucleotides) under uncultured bacterium. Its description in RNAcentral is "partial 16S ribosomal RNA". It matches the Rfam family "Bacterial small subunit ribosomal RNA", at positions 28 to 507 of the family's 1533-position model. The record is from RNAcentral.